UUGCACGCUGGCGGCAGGCCUAACACAUGCACGUCGAACGGUAACAGAAAGCAGCUUGCUGCUUUGCUGACGAGUGGCGGACGGGUGAGUAAUGUCUGGGAAACUGCCUGAUGGAGGGGGAUAACUACUGGAAACGGUAGCUAAUACCGCAUAACGUCGCAAGACCAAAGAGGGGGACCUUCGGGCCUCUUGCCAUCGGAUGUGCCCAGAUGGGAUUAGCUAGUAGGUGGGGUAAAGGCUCACCUAGGCGACGAUCCCUAGCUGGUCUGAGAGGAUGACCAGCCACACUGGAACUGAGACACGGUCCAGACUCCUACGGGAGGCAGCAGUGGGGAAUAUUGCACAAUGGGCGCAAGCCUGAUGCAGCCAUGCCGCGUGUAUGAAGAAGGCCUUCGGGUUGUAAAGUACUUUCAGCGGGGAGGAAGGGAGUAAAGUUAAUACCUUUGCUCAUUGACGUUACCCGCAGAAGAAGCACCGGCUAACUCCGUG
This 489-nucleotide ribosomal RNA is filed under the name uncultured bacterium. Its description in RNAcentral is "partial 16S ribosomal RNA". It matches the Rfam family "Bacterial small subunit ribosomal RNA", at positions 30 to 507 of the family's 1533-position model. The record is from RNAcentral.